UACGUAGGGGGCAAGCGUUGUCCGGAUUUAUUGGGCGUAAAGAGCGUGUAGGCGGCCGUACAGGUCAGCUGUGAAAACUCGAGGCUCAACCUCGAGACGUCGGUUGAAACCGUACGGCUAGAGUCCGGAAGAGGAGAGUGGAAUUCCCGGUGUAGCGGUGAAAUGCGCAGAUAUCAGGAAGAACACCCGUGGCUAAGGCGGCUCUCUAGUACGGUACUGACGCUGAGACGCGAAAGCGUGGGGAGCGAACACG
RNAcentral lists this ribosomal RNA (253 nucleotides) under uncultured bacterium. Its description in RNAcentral is "partial 16S ribosomal RNA". It matches the Rfam family "Bacterial small subunit ribosomal RNA", at positions 524 to 776 of the family's 1533-position model. The record is from RNAcentral.